RNAcentral lists this long non-coding RNA (2261 nucleotides) under Homo sapiens (human). Its description in RNAcentral is "HSALNT0281964". Lineage: Eukaryota; Metazoa; Chordata; Mammalia; Primates; Hominidae. The record is from RNAcentral.
GCCUCUUCAGGUUGUGUGUGUGGUGGCCUGGCAUUCAAUCUGUGAGGUGGAUGCGUGUUGGAAGGACCCCUUUUGGUUUCUUUUUGCUCAGAGCUUUCUUUUAAUAAAUUCCGCUCUCCUCACCUUUCAAUGUGUCCGUAUGCCUAAUUUUUCCUGGUCCUGUGACAAGAACCUGAUUUUAGCUGAACUAAGGAGCGAAAGAUCCUGGAUCAUUUUGGUGACCCAUACUGGUACAUGAGGAAAGGUCACAAAACCCUCCUGUGAGAGGAACCCUCUGUGGAAGAACAGAAUAUGUCACCCCAAAAUAUGAAGAAUUGUUGAGCUGAAGAUGAUUAAGAAGAAGCGGAUGCAGGAAAGCUCUCUGCUCUCCCUCUAUUUGCUUAAAAGCAGGAUAAACACUUACAAAGACUAAAGGGGUCCAUUCCAACUAAGAAACUAUGGGGGACCAGGCAUGGUGGCUCACGCCUAUAAUCCCAGCACUUUGGGAGGCCAAGGCCGGCAGAUCACGAGGUCAGGAGAUCGAGACCAUCCUGGCCAACAUGACGCCACAAUCAAGAACUCAGAAGGGUAGAAGAAAAAGAUAGUUUCCCUUCCCUACACAGGUGUUGAUCCCUUCAUAAAUAUUAUGCAUGCUAAGCCCUAUCUCAAGGUCUACAUCCAGGAGAACCCAACCUGCAACAUUAAGUUACUGACUGUGCAAGAACCCUUUGAUCACGUACCUUACAGACCAAGAUAAGUGAGGAUGCCCAUGUAUAACCUGCUGUCUUUCUGGUCUCUUAUGUUUUUGUACCAGAAAGGGACAACUUUUUGGGUAACCAUAGGUCUCUAGUAUAUCUGUGAUUACAAUAAAGAUUUUUGAUAUACCAAAACUGAUGAACCAAAAUUCCACUGAAAUAGCGAGUAAAUGGAGUUCUUUUAUCCUUUGCAGUAUACCAGGGUGAACUUUUUACAUGAUUUCUUGCUCCAAAGGGAGAAGUGUUAUGACAAAGUACAUUUAAGGACCCUAACUGAUCACAGAAAAAAUAUUAAUGGCAUUGGGAAAAAAAUGCAGACUAAUGAAUCCACUACUAAAUUUUAUCUAUCUUGUAGCUCUAAAAUUGCACUGUUUAGAAUACACUAUGGUAGCCACUAGACAUAUGGCUACUUGAACUUGAAUUGGUUAAAAUCAAAAUUAAGAAUUUAAUUUCUCACUCACAUUAGCCACAUUUCAAGUGCUCAACAGACACAUGUGGCUAGUGUCUACCAUAUUGGACAGCAUAGAUUUAAAGCACAUUUCCAUCAUUGCAACACUGCAAUAUGGAGGAUGUAUCCUCAAUACAUUGAUAUUGCCCCCUCAAAAUUCAUAACCCCUAGAUAUCUUAUCUCUGUAUGUGAGGAUAGUGUAUUAACUUGCACCUGGACUGAGAUAGAUAAAUGCUUAUCUCCAGAGAUGUCUGAAAGUCUGGUACUGACCCUUGUCUAAGAUAAGGAUGGAAUGUGCUGGUUAAUGAUUUAUACUGUGCUAUACAAAGUCCAAAAUUCCUUUGGAGGUAUCCUCUGCUGGCUUGUCUACAUUGUUUAAGGAUGGAUAGGUUGAUGGUUUGCACCUGCUUUAAUCAUUUACACAUUCUGAUUUUAUUUGUGAUCAGUGGAGGAUAAAACCUUCAAUAAACUUGUGUCUUAGCUUCCUUGAUAUUAAGAUAUCUUGCACAUAUCUUAGAUUUUUAUAAUCUGAAUGCAAAGCACAUCCUUUGCAAUUGAGAAAGGACUCUGUGAGCUGCUCCUGGAUAUGUGAAACCCCUCAGUGACUGACCGUAUUUUCUUUCUUCUGCUGUACUUGCCCUUAUUAAAGCCUUACAUGUGAAGUAAGUCCUUUCAAUUGUCUGACUCCGGGUGAUUGUUAUACCCUUUGAUAUAGUUUGGAUAUUUGUGCCUUCCAAAUCUCAUGUUGAAAUGCGAUCCCCUAUGUUGGAGGUGGAGCCUAGUAGGAGGUGUUAGGGUCACGGGAAUGGAUCCCUGAUGAAUGGCUUGGUACACAGUAAUGAGUGAGUUUGUGCUUUAUUAGUUACUGUGAGAUUUACUUGGUAAAAAGAGCCUGGCAACUCCUCCCUCUCCCUUGCUCCCUCUCUUGCCAUGUGACAUGCUUGCUCCAGCUGCACCUUUUGCCACAAUUGUAAGCUUUGUGAGUCCCUCAACAGAAGCUGAGCAAAUGCUGGCACCAUGCUUCUUGUACAGCCUACAGAACUGUGAACCAAAUAAAACUUUUAUUUUUAUAAAUUAUC